This 60-nucleotide transfer RNA is filed under the name Gmelinoides fasciatus. RNAcentral's name for it is "tRNA-Phe". Lineage: Eukaryota; Metazoa; Arthropoda; Malacostraca; Amphipoda; Micruropodidae. The record is from RNAcentral.
AUUCAGAUAGUCUAAAUAGGGCGUUACAUUGAAGCUGUGAAGGUAGUUUUCUUCUGGGUA